UGUGUGAGGUCUAGGGUUCAAGUCUCAUUUAUGGAAAAUUUUGUUAUUUUUUUAUUCCAAGCCUUAUCUCUGUUGGGUGGGCUUAUAAUAUAUUGUUUGUAAACUCAUAUCAGAAUGAGUCUGCUGGUUCGAGUGGUAAGGAGUUAGCUUUCCUUGAGGUCUCGUGUUCGAAUCCUUGUACAAGUGUGUAUGUUAAUUUUUACGACAGUUGAGUGAUAGAGGUUCGGUGGAAGUGGAAUUCUGAGGUAGUUGAGAGUUUGUGGGUCGGUUAGUAGUGGGAUAAUGUGAGGGUUGAGAUAUUGUAGGGAUUAAUUUGAAUUUUUAUUUUAAUUUCGUAAUUUUUUCUCUCUCUCUGAUGUGUUCUUCUCUGUUCCUCUAUCAAUUUCUUUUCUUUUCUUUCUUGAUUUUGGUCUUAUUUCUUUCCUUUGAUUUUUGGUCCCUUCGCGUGCUUUGUAGGUAAGAUUUCGCUAUGGUUUGAGGGAGAUGUUGUGUAAUGCUUUAGUUUCUGUGGGUGUUUUGGGCUGAUUUGUUAUACUGUUUUGAUAGGUGUUUCUCAGGGAAUCCGAGACCCUUCGGUUGCGUAAUGAAGUUUUAGGGCUACUAUUGUCGAG
RNAcentral lists this long non-coding RNA (611 nucleotides) under Gossypium raimondii (Peruvian cotton). Its description in RNAcentral is "long non-coding RNA (GRAI_LNC003563)". The record is from RNAcentral. Lineage: Eukaryota; Viridiplantae; Streptophyta; Magnoliopsida; Malvales; Malvaceae.